Molecule: ribosomal RNA, 2816 nt
Filed under: Klebsiella pneumoniae
Lineage: Bacteria; Pseudomonadati; Pseudomonadota; Gammaproteobacteria; Enterobacterales; Enterobacteriaceae
Description: partial 23S ribosomal RNA
Rfam family: Bacterial large subunit ribosomal RNA
Source: RNAcentral
GGUUAAGCGACUAAGCGUACACGGUGGAUGCCCUGGCAGUCAGAGGCGAUGAAGGACGUGCUAAUCUGCGAAAAGCGUCGGUAAGGUGAUAUGAACCGUUAUAACCGGCGAUGUCCGAAUGGGGAAACCCAGUGUGAUUCGUCACACUAUCGUUAACUGAAUACAUAGGUUAACGAGGCGAACCGGGGGAACUGAAACAUCUAAGUACCCCGAGGAAAAGAAAUCAACCGAGAUUCCCCCAGUAGCGGCGAGCGAACGGGGAGCAGCCCAGAGUCUGAAUCAGCUUGUGUGUUAGUGGAACGGUCUGGAAAGUCCGACGGUACAGGGUGAUAGUCCCGUACACCAAAAUGCACAGGCUGUGAACUCGAAGAGUAGGGCGGGACACGUGGUAUCCUGUCUGAAUAUGGGGGGACCAUCCUCCAAGGCUAAAUACUCCUGACUGACCGAUAGUGAACCAGUACCGUGAGGGAAAGGCGAAAAGAACCCCGGCGAGGGGAGUGAAAAAGAACCUGAAACCGUGUACGUACAAGCAGUGGGAGCACCUUCGGGUGUGACUGCGUACCUUUUGUAUAAUGGGUCAGCGACUUAUAUUCUGUAGCAAGGUUAACCGUAUAGGGGAGCCGCAGGGAAACCGAGUCUUAACUGGGCGUUAAGUUGCAGGGUAUAGACCCGAAACCCGGUGAUCUAGCCAUGGGCAGGUUGAAGGUUGGGUAACACUAACUGGAGGACCGAACCGACUAAUGUUGAAAAAUUAGCGGAUGACUUGUGGCUGGGGGUGAAAGGCCAAUCAAACCGGGAGAUAGCUGGUUCUCCCCGAAAGCUAUUUAGGUAGCGCCUCGUGAAUUCAUCUUCGGGGGUAGAGCACUGUUUCGGCUAGGGGGUCAUCCCGACUUACCAACCCGAUGCAAACUACGAAUACCGAAGAAUGUUAUCACGGGAGACACACGGCGGGUGCUAACGUCCGUCGUGAAGAGGGAAACAACCCAGACCGCCAGCUAAGGUCCCAAAGUCAUGGUUAAGUGGGAAACGAUGUGGGAAGGCACAGACAGCCAGGAUGUUGGCUUAGAAGCAGCCAUCAUUUAAAGAAAGCGUAAUAGCUCACUGGUCGAGUCGGCCUGCGCGGAAGAUGUAACGGGGCUAAACCAUGCACCGAAGCUGCGGCAGCGACACUAUGUGUUGUUGGGUAGGGGAGCGUUCUGUAAGCCUGCGAAGGUGUGCUGUGAGGCAUGCUGGAGGUAUCAGAAGUGCGAAUGCUGACAUAAGUAACGAUAAAGCGGGUGAAAAGCCCGCUCGCCGGAAGACCAAGGGUUCCUGUCCAACGUUAAUCGGGGCAGGGUGAGUCGACCCCUAAGGCGAGGCCGAAAGGCGUAGUCGAUGGGAAACAGGUUAAUAUUCCUGUACUUGGUGUUACUGCGAAGGGGGGACGGAGAAGGCUAUGUUAGCCGGGCGACGGUUGUCCCGGUUUAAGCAUGUAGGCUGGUUGUCCAGGCAAAUCCGGAUAAUCAAGGCUGAGGUGUGAUGACGAGGCACUACGGUGCUGAAGUAACAAAUGCCCUGCUUCCAGGAAAAGCCUCUAAGCAUCAGGUAACAUCAAAUCGUACCCCAAACCGACACAGGUGGUCAGGUAGAGAAUACCAAGGCGCUUGAGAGAACUCGGGUGAAGGAACUAGGCAAAAUGGUGCCGUAACUUCGGGAGAAGGCACGCUGGUGUGUAGGUGAAGUCCCUGCGGAUGGAGCUGAGACCAGUCGAAGAUACCAGCUGGCUGCAACUGUUUAUUAAAAACACAGCACUGUGCAAACACGAAAGUGGACGUAUACGGUGUGACGCCUGCCCGGUGCCGGAAGGUUAAUUGAUGGGGUUAUCCGUAAGGAGAAGCUCUUGAUCGAAGCCCCGGUAAACGGCGGCCGUAACUAUAACGGUCCUAAGGUAGCGAAAUUCCUUGUCGGGUAAGUUCCGACCUGCACGAAUGGCGUAAUGAUGGCCAGGCUGUCUCCACCCGAGACUCAGUGAAAUUGAACUCGCUGUGAAGAUGCAGUGUACCCGCGGCAAGACGGAAAGACCCCGUGAACCUUUACUAUAGCUUGACACUGAACAUUGAGCCUUGAUGUGUAGGAUAGGUGGGAGGCUUUGAAGCGUGGACGCCAGUCUGCGUGGAGCCAACCUUGAAAUACCACCCUUUAAUGUUUGAUGUUCUAACGUUGGCCCCUUACCGGGGUUGCGGACAGUGUCUGGUGGGUAGUUUGACUGGGGCGGUCUCCUCCCAAAGCGUAACGGAGGAGCACGAAGGUUAGCUAAUCCUGGUCGGACAUCAGGAGGUUAGUGCAAUGGCAUAAGCUAGCUUGACUGCGAGCGUGACGGCGCGAGCAGGUGCGAAAGCAGGUCAUAGUGAUCCGGUGGUUCUGAAUGGAAGGGCCAUCGCUCAACGGAUAAAAGGUACUCCGGGGAUAACAGGCUGAUACCGCCCAAGAGUUCAUAUCGACGGCGGUGUUUGGCACCUCGAUGUCGGCUCAUCACAUCCUGGGGCUGAAGUAGGUCCCAAGGGUAUGGCUGUUCGCCAUUUAAAGUGGUACGCGAGCUGGGUUUAGAACGUCGUGAGACAGUUCGGUCCCUAUCUGCCGUGGGCGCUGGAGAAUUGAGGGGGGCUGCUCCUAGUACGAGAGGACCGGAGUGGACGCAUCACUGGUGUUCGGGUUGUCAUGCCAAUGGCACUGCCCGGUAGCUAAAUGCGGAAGAGAUAAGUGCUGAAAGCAUCUAAGCACGAAACUUGCCCCGAGAUGAGUUCUCCCUGAGACUUUAAGUCUCCUGAAGGAACGUU